This 27-nucleotide non-coding RNA is filed under the name Rattus norvegicus (Norway rat). Lineage: Eukaryota; Metazoa; Chordata; Mammalia; Rodentia; Muridae. The record is from RNAcentral.
UGCUUUUAGCUAACCCGAACCAGCCCA